AGGACGAACGCUGGCGGCGUGCUUAACACAUGCAAGUCGAGGGCACUUUGGGGGCAACUCUGGAGUGACCGGCGAACGGGUGCGUAACACGUGAGCGACCUUGCCUCGUGGUGGGGGAUAGCCGGCCCAACGGCCGGGUAAUACCGCAUAGGGUGGUCUUUUCGCAUGGAAAGACUAGCAAAGCCCUGGAGCAAUCCAGUGGCGCCACAGGGGGGGCUCGCGGCCUAUCAGCUAGUUGGGGGGGUAAUGGCCCACCAAGGCGACGACGGGUAGCUGGU
RNAcentral lists this ribosomal RNA (278 nucleotides) under uncultured bacterium. Its description in RNAcentral is "partial small subunit ribosomal RNA". It matches the Rfam family "Bacterial small subunit ribosomal RNA", at positions 26 to 291 of the family's 1533-position model. The record is from RNAcentral.